CCACUUUUUUUUUUUUAUUUUCCAGAUAACCUUACCGAUUUCACAUUAUUUUAUUUACGUGCAAAUCAUCAAGUGUCUAUAAAUCACAUGGCAUGCUUGAAAACAAGAACAAUUUAAUUUAUCAUAUCUAUCAGACACGAAACAUGCAAAUAGGCAAAAUCACAUAACCAUUAAUUUAAUUUCUGUCUAAAAAUACUCCUUAAGAAGUUUAAAGAAAUAUUAGAUUCUUUACCGAAACUUUGAUAAUUUCUCCUACACCGUUCUUCUCUUCCUCUUUUUCUCUCUCUAGAUCAUUCUCUUUUUCUCUCUCUCUCUCUAACUCUUGAAAGGUGGAAAAAUGGAACUGAGGAGAAAAUGGAAGGAAGGGCCCCUAUUUAUAAAAAACAGGAGUUAUUGGAUUUACGCCAAGUGGCAAAAUCUGGUGAAGAGAGAGAGUAAAAAGAGACUUGGCAUAAAAAAUGGAGGAAACAGACCUCCUUCACUGCUACCGGCACCUUAAGUGGCGGCAUGCCGCCCAAGGUGGGUAGCACAUUGCCCAAGGUGGUAGUAGCCUCACCUACCCAACGCGCGCUACAGGCCUAGUCUACAAGCACUGGGCUGCCCUGCCGCGCGCAGUGCCUAGGCACGCUGGGGCACCACGCGCAAGCCUGCUGCACGGACAGUGCGGGCACAAUAUGUGACACCUACCUGUCCGCGCAC
Molecule: long non-coding RNA, 699 nt
Filed under: Carica papaya (papaya)
Lineage: Eukaryota; Viridiplantae; Streptophyta; Magnoliopsida; Brassicales; Caricaceae
Description: long non-coding RNA (CPAP_LNC002126)
Source: RNAcentral